This 129-nucleotide ribosomal RNA is filed under the name Pteropus alecto (black flying fox). Lineage: Eukaryota; Metazoa; Chordata; Mammalia; Chiroptera; Pteropodidae. The record is from RNAcentral.
UUUUACUGUGAUGCUUCCUCAUUAACACACCAGAGCGUGUAUACAAUUACAAAAAACAAAGCUAAGCAGGGUCGGGCCUGGUUAGUAGUUGGAUGGGAGACCACUUAGGAAGACCAGGUGCUGGAGGUG